UGUGGGGCUUGAACUCAUGACCCUGAGAUAAAGAUCUGAGCUGAGAUUAAGAGUUGGAUGUUCAACUGACUGAGCCACAUAGGCACCCCUGUUCAUAUCUUCUUUUUUGCUCCUUCCUCCAUCCUUUUCUUCCAUGGCUGCCAUCAUGCAUAUGCUAGUACACUCGGUAGUGUGCCGCAGGUCUGAGGCUUGGUUGCUUUUUCUUUUUUUCUUUUCUUUGUGUUUCCCAGACUGGGUAAUCACAAUUGAUCUAUUUUCAAGUUCACUGAUUCUUACUUCUGCCAGCUUAAGUCUUCUGUUUAGCCCUUCUCGUGAAUUUUUUAUUUCAGUUGUUGCACUUUUUAACUCCAGAAUUUCUUCUUAGUUCUUUUUUUUUUUUUUUUUUUUUUUAAUAGCUUCUACCCCUUUAUUUAUAUUAUCUCUUCGGUCAGACAUUGUUUUCAUAUUUUUAAUUCUUUGGGUAUGAUUUCCUAUAGUUAUUAGAAAAUAUUUAUAGUAGCUGAUUUAAGGUCUUUGACUAGUAAGUUCAACACAUGGUUUUUCUCAGGGAUAGUUUUUGUUGACUGCUUUUUUUCCUUGUGUGGGCUCCCCUUUCCUGGUUGUAUGCAUGUGUCUUUUUAUUUUUUAAAUUGUACAAAUCACAUAAUACACUGUGGCAAUAUAGCAAUCAGCGUCCCUCCCUCCCAAGGGUUUGUUGUAGUUUUUUGUUGUUGCAGUUUGUUUGUUUAGUGACUUUUCCUGACUAAUUCUACAGUCUGUAUUCUUUGUGUGUGUGGCCACUGGAGUCUCUGCUAUAUUAACUUAGUGGUCGGUCAAUGAUCAGGGAGGGAUUUUUAAAAAAUACUUCGAACCAGGAAGUCUCCCACCUGUAUGGAGGGGUUUUGUCUUGGAGCCCACCUUCAAUGCAUUGGCCAGCAGUUCACAAGACUUCCUAGUCUUCACUUCCAACUUGCACAGAACUUCAAGGUUGGCCAGAGGUGAGAGCUGAAAUCUUUUUCAGAUUUUUUCCGAGUAUGCCCACAGACAUAUAUAUGGGGCCUCCUACAUCGCCAGAAAUACAUUGGGACUUUGCAAAGUCUUCUAUGGUCACAGCACACCCACAUUUUCCUUUUAAGUUUUCUUUUUGGCCAGCCUCUUUUUUUGCCCCAACUGGUAUUGCUGCCUUACAUCACUGCAACAUUAAACCAUUGCCAUUGGCUGUUUUUUAAAAGAAAAAAAUUUUUUAAUGUUUAUUUAUUUUUGACAGAGAGAGACAGAGUGUGAGCGGGGGAGGGGCAGAGAGAGAGGGAGACACAGAAUCCAAAGCAGGCUCCAGGUUUCAAGCUGUCAGCACAGAGCCCGAUGCAGGGCUCGAACUCACAGACCGUGAGAUCAUGACCUGAGCUGAAGUCGGAUGCUCAACCGACUGAGCCACCCAGGCGCCCCACCAUUGACUGUUUUUGACAAUUGACAACAUGGUUUUGAGGCUGGGUGUUUUAAAGGCUACUGCAGAGCUGGGCAGAAGGGGUUGAGAAUAGCGUAAGUUAAAACUCCCCAAACCUCACCUAGUUUCUUACCUAGAUUCAGCUGUUUUUUCUUCAAAUAAAUGCUCCUCAGAUGGGUAUAAGCCUUUGGCGCCCCUCCCGAGUUUUGAGAAAGUUCGUUUUGACCCUUUGCCCAGUGCUCUUUUGCUUUUCUGGAGGAGCAGAUUUUGGGAGGCAUGCUUACUCCACCAUUCUGAAAGAGCUUCUCCUUUUUCUAACAUUCGGAUGCAAACUCAGGUGGAAAGGCAUGGAAAUGCAUGUAAAUAUAUCACCUUGAAAUGUCUAAAUUGGUUUUUGAAAUGUUGGAUUGCCACAUUAGUAUUCCUCCCGGUCAUAACACAUCACAACACAUCCCACACAAGCAAGUGCUUUUAUAAUCAUGUCUCAAGGCUUAUGAACCUAACCUCAAAACCUGGAGUUUUAGCAUAAAAAAGCACACGUCUCAUGAGUGAUCCCAGUGACUUUGAUUUUUGGAGAGACUAGAAACCGGUGGAUGGUGACACAUCCAUAUAUCUUAUGUUUAAAGGUUACCAUUUGGCAGAUACAAAUAAAUUUCUGCCUUGACAGUUUCCUUAAACAUAUCCAGGCAUUGUUCUUAUAGGGUACUAUUUUUAUUGGUAAAGCUGAAGUAUCAAAUUUUGUGGUUCAGACCAGAAUAAUUUAUAACCAGUGGUUAGCUAAGUACCAUGAUUCUUUGAGCCUCUGUCCAUCUUCCUUGACUUAGGUGCACGGACCAGAAAGGAUUUAAUGAGUGGCAAAGUUGGAAGUAGAACUUUGCUUCAUCCUAUAGAAAUGCAAGAGAUGAGACCCAGGGCCCUCUAUCUCUGCCAUCGUUUAAAAAUUUCCCAAGAGAUUCUUUUUCUUACUUCCUGUACUCUCCAGAAGGUUCUCCAUAGGAAAGAGCUGUUUAACUCAUGGAGCAAAACUCUACCUAGUAUUUACAAAUCAACCUUUGACUGAAAGCAUAAUGAAAAUGUCAUUUUUCAGUUGGGAGGCCAAAUAAAAGUUCUGUUUUAGACAUUUUUCCUUAUUUUUUUUCAAAUGUGCAACUGGAGUUAUGAUGGUAGUUUCACAUUUCUGUAUUCCCUUUCUUUUUUCAUAUUGAGCUGUUUAGGUCCCCAAACCCAGAGCACCAAUUUUAUUUUGAUUCGAUUCUUCUUUUCUGUGAAAACUACAAAUUAACUCCCUUUAUAUUAUUCUAAAAACAGUCUUCCUUUCUUUUUUCCAUCCCUGGUUUCUCAAAUAAUUGCUUCUUUGUGAAGAACCAAACAAUAGCAAACCACGGGUAAUCUGCUGCUGGUUUAAGUCCUAUAUUUAACCAGCAAGCUGUUUAAUCAGAAACAUAAUCCGACCUAUUGGGUUACCAAAUUUUGUCUAAUAUAUCUGAGAAAGAUAUAUCUCAAUCUCUGACUGAAACAUACUCAUCUAGCUUUCCAUAGGUAACAGAGAUGUUAGUACAACAAAGGACACACUGAAAUUGUAUCAUAUCAUUUGGUGAAAUUUGAAAGUGGAAUAUUAAAAGCUUAACUAAUAUUUUACUUUUAUAACCCCACAGUGAGUUUUGUGUGUGUGUGUGUGUGUGUGUGUGUGUGUGUGUGUGUGUGUGUGGUUGCUUUUUAAAACUUUUCCUUUUCUUUGUGACAUGAUUUCCAAAUGUACAUUUUAGGAUAUGAUUAUAAUUAUACAAUAUUGUGUUGCAGAUUGGGAUACUUUGUCAGUUGUUUCUAGAGACAAUGUCUUUUAAACCAAUUUCAAAAUAGAAAUAAAACUGUUGGAGAAUUAAGAUUGAGAGAUAGUCUAGUUCAGUGUAGUUGGUCCUCAGUAAGCUUCACCUCUUAACCUCUCUGUGUGCCCCACUCAUUCUUUUGAUAAAUCACUUCAGGUUUUGAUCAAAUGGUUGGGUCAUCUUUACAGCAUUUUUUUUUAAUGAGAUGGUUUCUUUCCACUGGAUUGGGAAUCAAGAUACCUGGGUCCUAAUUCUGUCUUGUUAUUGACCAGAACGACCUGAGGCCAGAUUACUCAUUCUUUCCGAGCCUCAGAUUUCCUCUUCUAUAGAACAGAACAGAGUAUGUGUGGGGAGAAGCUGGGCUCAAUGAGGUUCAAGUAUGACUCAAAAGAGAAAUAUUUAUGGUUAUGCAAUAUAAGCCUUAAUUGUGCAGUGCUUUUGACUUUUCCUGAUUUUCUUGAUAGCCUACCUUUUUCUAUGUACACGUAACCUCCACUAUCUGAGAGCAUUCCUAUGAAACCUUUUUUUGUAAAUUGGCAUAGACAGGACAUUGUAUACAACAGCAGCAGAAUAUAGAUUCUUCUCAAUCUCACACAGAUCAUUCUCUGUGAGCUGAAGUUGCUGGGGAUAUAAAGAUGGAUAGGACAUAACACCAGCUUUUAAGAGGUUUUGAGGCUGGUGGAUGAGAUACUUGCUUGACUAUUCAAAGCAGAGGUAGGAGGAGUGGGGCAGGAACUAUGUUAGUCAGGGGCACUGGAACAAGGUUCACUGCCAGUGUACCUCUGUGGGAGGGUUUCCUGGAGAAGCUAGUAGAUUCCAGUUAGUCAUCAUCCUCUGUAACUGUGUAGAACAACUUUCUUUUCUUUCUUGGGAAAUUUUCUGGAGGAGGCUCUUGAGGCUUAUUGGAAUUAUUUAGGAAAGUAAUUGUUUAAUAGUUUCCAGGUAGAAGCAGUUAACAGUUGAGGGAGAAUUAAGACACUCUGAUGAACUUAGAUUUGUGUAGGAUUGAAAUAAAUGGAAGGUGGGAGCCUGAAGUGAACAGAUGGACCAUUAAGGGAGCUGGUCAAGCUUGCACUUAGGAAUAAUAAUUAUAAAGAUAAUGUAUAACGGUAUAAUUAUAAUGAUCAUAAUGGCUAAUGCUGAGGAAUGCUGGCACCAUUAUAAACUCUUGACAUGUACUAACUCAUAACAUUCCUAUUAACAUUUCCACAGGAUAGAUACUAUUAAUAUUUCCAUUUUACAGAUGACAAAACUGAGGCAUCAAAAGUCUAGGUCAUGGGUAGAAUGGCUUCUGCUUAAGUUAUGUUGCAUGGGACCCUAGAAUGGAAACUCGCUUUGCUCAUUGUGAGAAUUUUGAUAAAAGUCUUGCCCAAAUGUCAUAGUUAAUAUGUGGCAGAAUAGGCAGGAGGCAGUAGGUCAAGGGGAACAAAGUUUCAAUUGCGUAAGACAUGUGAGUUCUGGAAAUCUAAUGUAUGGUAAUGUGAAUGUAGUUAACGAUGCUGUAUUGUAUACUUCAGAUUUGCUAAAGGAUGUAUCUUAAGUGUCCUCACCACACACAUGCACACACACACAAGUAACUGUAUGAAGUGAUGCAUAUGUUAAUUAGCUUGAUUGUGGCAUUUUCUGAUGCAUGUAUGUCAAAACAUACGACAUGUACCUUAAAUAUAUACAUUUUUUGAAAUUUGUCAAUUAUACGUCAAUAAAGAUUGGGGCAAAACGGCAGACAUUGGAUUUAAACCCUGUAAUCCUCAGAGACCAGUCCAGCCAUCUGAUGGGUGCGUGCAUAGGCGGGAGCCAUGCCCAACUUCGCCCCCCGUGAAAGACCUGCCGGCUGCAGACUUGACUACACACCCCACAACAGCCACAAGACCUGGUUCCAGCUCUGCUUGCCCAUGAUUCUGGAGGUAACCUCAUCAGCCCAGGGACCCAGCAGGAAAAGAUCUGCCAAAACUAGUCUGUGAAGACCGGAAGAGGCGUCUGCCUUUCAAAUGCACAGGCAUCAAUGCGGGACUACAUGGGUCACUAAGAAUUAGGUAAAUGUGGGGCACCUGGGCGGGUCAGUCAGUUAAGCAUCUGGCUCCUGAUUUCAGCUCAGGUCAUAAUCUCAUGGUUUGUGGGUUUGAGCCCCACGUCUGGCUCUGCACUGACAGUGUGGACCCUGCUUGGGAUUCUCUCUCUCUCCCUCUCUCUCUGCCCCUCCCCUGCCUGCUCUCUCUCUCAGAAAAGAAAAAGAAAAAGAAAAAGAAAAGAAAAGAAAGAAUUAGUCACACAUGAUACCACCCAAGGAGACUAAUAAAGCUCCAGUAAGCAACCUUAAAGAAAUAGCCACAAAUGGCUACCAAAGAAUUCAUAAUAAAGAAGCUCAGUUAGCAACAAGGGAAUACAGACAACUACAUGAAAUCAGUAGAUCAAUACAUGGGCAAAAUGAAAAGCUUAACAAAGAAAUGGAAAUCAUAAAAGAGAACCAAACAAAUUCUGGAGCUGAAGAAUGCAAUGACUUCAAUAGAGAGUUUCAACAGCAGACUUAAUCAUGCAGAAGAAAGAAUCAGCAAACUGGAAGGCAAGUUAUUUGAAAUUAUCCAAUUAGAGGAACAAAAAGAAUAGGAAAGAGAAGAAAGUCUACAUGACUUGUGGGACAGCAGCAAAAGAACUAAUCUAUGCAUUAUGGGAAUCCCAGAAGGAGCAGAGAAUGAGAAAGGGACAGAAAGCUUAUUUAAAGAAAUAAUGUCAAAGAAAUAACAAGUGUUGACAAGGAUGUAGAGGUCAAAGGAACUCUGAUGCACUGUUGGUGGAAAUAUAAAUUGGUGCAGCCACUGUGGAAAACAGAAUGGAGGUUCCUCGAAAAAUUAAAAAUAGCAAUACCACAUGAUGUAGUAAUUCCACUACUAGCUAUUUACCCAGAGAAAACAAAAACACUAAUUGGAAAAGAUAUAUGCACCCCUAUGUUUAUUACAUAAUUAUUUAGAAUAGCCAAGAUAUGGAAGGAAUCCAAGUGUCCACUGAUAGAUGAAUGGAUAAAGAAGAUGUGGUAUAUAUAUGACGGAAUAUUAUUCAGCCUUAAAAAAAAAAAAAGAAUGAGAUCAUGUAAUUUG
Neofelis nebulosa (Clouded leopard) is the source of this 6341-nucleotide long non-coding RNA. RefSeq lists it as uncharacterized. The record is from RefSeq and is a predicted model, not a curated record. Lineage: Eukaryota; Metazoa; Chordata; Mammalia; Carnivora; Felidae. The transcript is spliced from 2 exons.